CUCACUGUAUUGAAUGCCCACUCGACUUACAGCGUGUUCGGUUCACGGAACUGGAAGUCCACUAAUCCGAUUACAGGGGAAUCGUAUCAAUUAUCUGAACCGAACACGAUGAAUUCUCGAGCGGAAUCCGAUUACCUCAAAUUUGUUGUUUUCGAUUGCAGUGGUCAAGGUGUGGAAUGGGAACCGAUUCCCGGGAAUUGAGGUGUAAAACCCAUGAAUUAACAGAUUUGCCCUGCCAUAUAUACAUUUAUCGAUUAGAAGAAAUAUGUUCUCAACUCUCGCUCUCGUGAUCGCUUCCUCUUCUGUAAAUAUAUAUAGAUAUAUAUAUCUCGAUUAGUCUCCCUGUUAUCGAAUUCUCUUUCUAUCUAUCGAUCUUGAUUCUCUAUUGUUCAAAAAAAAUAAUUGAAGUUCAUCACGCUACGGGUUAUCUGUGUUACUGUGGAAGUCCUUAAAGGCCAUUUUACACGAUAUAUUCUCCAGCUGUGAUUUCUUUCCUAAAAAACUUGAACCGAACAGAAAAUUUUGCUGAAGGAAUUGAUUUCCUUGUAAUCCAAUUAAUUUUUCUGGAUUCCACUGUAAUCGGAUUAAUGGACUUCUGAUUCGGUGAACCGAACAGGCUGUUAGUGUUUUUACUUCCCAUCAAUCCGAGAAACCGCUUCCAUUCCCACUCCAUGCAGAUCAAUCGAAUGCCGCAACAAAUAAUUUGUUUCUUCUUCGACAGAGAAAAAAACAAGAAAAUUUGUAUAAAAUCAUUCUCAUGAUAUAUAUACGGCUUGAAAUCGACUUAUAAAUUGUCUGAAGGAGGAAUUGAUCCUGUCAAAUCCAACGGCUAGAUCUAGAAGAUUGUUCAGCUUAUCUAAGAGAUUUUUUUCCGUUCUAAUGAUAGAUAGAUAGAUUUUUUUCCGUUCUAAUGAUGCAUCCUUUCUAAUUGAUAGAUUUUGGAGUGAUAAGCAUCAACAAGGAAAUUCAAUACGGCUUCAGAAAAAAGAAGGAAACCCAGGUUGAGUUCUUAUGCCGCAAUCUUUACUUCUCCGAGAUAGCCUAAGGUAAAAGUGUUUGUUGAAUUGUCUGAUUGAGAAUUAUGGAUAUUCGUUUUUGUGAAUGGGUUUGCAUGAAUGAAAAAUUUGAGAUGAUAGUCCUGUUCAGCUGCAAAGAUGACCAGAAACAAAUAGUGGUGGAUUCUUUGAAACAUAGUGCAGGUAGACCUGUAGUAAAUAUGGUGGAUCCUUUGGGUUAUGGAUAUGAUGGAUAAAACGGUAAAUGUGCCUCAGGAGCAGAACCAUGGGUGCCUUGCAUCAACCAGCUUUGGAUGGCAGUGGCCCCUUCAGUAAAACAAUCCGUAGAAGUCCUAGGCUAAUUGUGCAAGCUCGAGUUCAAGAAACAAUACAUAUGCAGAUUUGAAUUGUUAACAGGUUUUGGAAGAUAAGCUUGAUUUAUCAAGGUGGUAAUUGAAGUAUAGGGCUUUUGGUCAAGAUGUAGAGUUUUCUUGGCUUGCUCGCAAUAUGCAGGCUAUACCCAACCAAAGAGGCCAAUGAUGAUGUUUAGAAGGUCUGCCUAACAGGAAUAUUGAUAACUAAUAUUAGUAAGAAUCAUGGAAAGACCAAUCGAAAAUGAGAAUCUUAACACUUUGAAUAAUCUUAACACCAUAAUCCUUGGGCUAAAAGUUCUGAAACUCUCUUGAAUGUGGAAGAUCGUUCGAAUGGGUUGUUAAUCGAUUCAAUUUUCCCCAAUUAAUGUUACAUAAUGUUACAUAGAAGCCUUUUUUCUCUAAUUGUGUAUAUGAUUUAUUCUCCCGCUACACUUUUCUUAAUGGGGAACCAGUGUUCUGAAAGCGUUACCUCUAACUUGCAUUAUCAUUUUUAGAUAAUCAAAUCUUUUUAUAUGUAGCCCAUUAUUACCAUGAAAUAAAAUUUUGGAUCGAUUUGUCCGAAGAGUUGGACAAGGUUUUUGUGAAUGUAAUUUCUCGAUUAAGUCUUUUAGGAAGGAUAUCAAGGUGGGAAAUCAUCACGGCACGCAGUAAUAUCAGUCAUAUACUUGAGAAGUUGGGAUGAGGGCUUUGUGUCAUAGUAAUUAACCUUUGGUAAUGCGAAUGCCUCUUUUAUCAAUCCUGGAUUUCCUAAUUAUAUGCAAGAGGAUGUAAGUUCUUUAUUAUUUAUUUUCCUUCAUUUACUAGGUUAUCACUAAUUUAGGUGAAAGAAACACUUUGCUGACAGUUUCCACUUGCAGGAUUGGGUGAAAGUAGUGGAUUGUUGUUUUUCGUUGAUGUAUAUGACUGAUGUUACUGCAUAUGCAUUGAAAUUCUUUUUGGCUUUGAAAAGAAUGUAACUGUUUUAGAAUUGGGCGAUUGAAAGGCCGGAAACAUAUAAGGAAUCACCAGAUAAUGUUCGAGUCAUAUGACAGGAAGAGGCUCUUGCACCUUUUUCAUGUUAUAUCAAACCUAAUCUCUGUGAUAUUGUUCACAAAUGGUGCACUUUUAACAACCUGAAGGCUGAUGUGGAGUGGAUAAGUUUUGCACCUGACUUCCUGAGAAAACAGGAAGCACGCAGUUGAGGAUGCAUUACUAACUAUCUCCGGAGUCGAAAUUGGUUACCAGCUUCAAUGUAAAUAUACAGCGUAGCAAGGAUGGCGAUGUCAAGAAUUUACGAACAUUAAACCCAUACGUUAUUAGGUGAGCACAAAUGAAGCUCUGCAUUGGAUAAAACCUAAAUUUAAGACAUUGUCAUUGUUUGAAGUUUUCGUGUUUUGUUGAGAAUUGUUGGGUUCUUAGCUUCCUUAUUAACCCGUUGGAUCAAUGGGAGUCUCUUAGAGAGUUUUAACUUUUUGUUGAGAAUUGUUGGGUUCUUAGCUUCCUUAUUAACCCGUUGGAUCAAUGGGAGUCUCUUAGAGAGUUUUAACUUUUUGGGGUAUCAUUUAGGUUGGAAUUUGAUUUUCUCUGAAUCGUUGGACCUUAAAGCUGAUGAAAUUCCUAUCAAAUUAGUACAUGCCAUA
Papaver somniferum (opium poppy) is the source of this 2988-nucleotide long non-coding RNA. RefSeq lists it as uncharacterized. The record is from RefSeq and is a predicted model, not a curated record. The transcript has 9 exons. Lineage: Eukaryota; Viridiplantae; Streptophyta; Magnoliopsida; Ranunculales; Papaveraceae.